CGAUUCCUACGGGAGGCAGCAGUGGGGAAUAUUGCACAAUGGGGGAAACCCUGAUGCAGCAACGCCGCGUGGAGGAUGACGCAUUUCGGUGUGUAAACUCCUUUUAUAUGUCAAGAAAAUGACGGUAGCAUAUGAAUAAGCACNNANNAACUCCGUGCCAGCAGCCGCGGUAAUACGGAGGGUGCAAGCGUUAUUCGGAAUCACUGGGCGUAAAGGACGCGUAGGCGGGUUUGUAAGUCAGGUGUGAAAUCCUACAGCUUAACUGUAGAACUGCACUUGAAACUACUAACCUAGAGUAUGGGAGGGGGAGAUGGAAUUAGUGGUGUAGGGGUAAAAUCCGUAGAUAUCACUAGGAAUACCUAAAGCGAAGGCGAUCUCCUGGAACAUUACUGACGCUAAGGCGUGAAAGCGUGGGGAGCAAACAGGAAAAU
This 431-nucleotide ribosomal RNA is filed under the name uncultured bacterium. RNAcentral's name for it is "bacterial SSU rRNA". It matches the Rfam family "Bacterial small subunit ribosomal RNA", at positions 333 to 781 of the family's 1533-position model. The record is from RNAcentral.